Molecule: transfer RNA, 64 nt
Filed under: Cavia porcellus (domestic guinea pig)
Lineage: Eukaryota; Metazoa; Chordata; Mammalia; Rodentia; Caviidae
Rfam family: tRNA
About the family: Transfer RNA (tRNA) molecules are approximately 80 nucleotides in length. Their secondary structure includes four short double-helical elements and three loops (D, anti-codon, and T loops).
Source: Rfam by way of RNAcentral
GGGGAUUUAGCUCAGCGGCAUAAGCACCUGCCUUGCAAGCAGGAGGUUAUGAGUUCGAUCCCCG